UAAUUAAAAAUCUUCAUAGAAUAAAAGAUGAGAGGUGUGCUUUUCUUGGUUUUUUUGUUGUCUCUUCAUUGUCUGAUCCAAGUGAGUGAGACCAAAGCAGCAGCGAGUGCCAAACACUGUCACUGCUGGUGGAGAAGAUGCUAUUGUCACCGAGAUCUACAGAACUUUGUAAAGGAUCAAGAAAAAAGAAUGGAAGAAGAAAUUGAAGCAGAAGCAGAUGAGUAGACCUUUCUGAGAACCGGACGGACAUCUUAUUUCUUAUUGAGAACAAAAGGUUCCUGUAUUUUUCUUUGUAAAACAAUACCUGGUAGUAAUUUCUGCUGUCCAUUAAAUAAUUUUCCAGCAUUCAAA
Molecule: long non-coding RNA, 351 nt
Organism: Saccostrea echinata
Lineage: Eukaryota; Metazoa; Mollusca; Bivalvia; Ostreida; Ostreidae
Exons: 4
Source: RefSeq, a predicted model, not a curated record